RNAcentral lists this ribosomal RNA (580 nucleotides) under uncultured bacterium. RNAcentral describes it as "partial 16S ribosomal RNA". It matches the Rfam family "Bacterial small subunit ribosomal RNA", at positions 355 to 923 of the family's 1533-position model. The record is from RNAcentral.
UGGGGAAUUUUGGACAAUGGGCGAAAGCCUGAUCCAGCAAUGCCGCGUGUGUGAAGAAGGCCUUCGGGUUGUAAAGCACUUUUGUCCGGAAAGAAAUCCUUGGCUCUAAUACAGUCGGGGGAUGACGGUACCGGAAGAAUAAGCACCGGCUAACUACGUGCCAGCAGCCGCGGUAAUACGUAGGGUGCAAGCGUUAAUCGGAAUUACUGGGCGUAAAGCGUGCGCAGGCGGUUUGCUAAGACCGAUGUGAAAUCCCCGGGCUCAACCUGGGAACUGCAUUGGUGACUGGCAGGCUAGAGUAUGGCAGAGGGGGGUAGAAUUCCACGUGUAGCAGUGAAAUGCGUAGAGAUGUGGAGGAAUACCGAUGGCGAAGGCAGCCCCCUGGGCCAAAUACUGACGCUCAUGCACGAAAAGCGUGGGGGAGCAAAACAGGAUUAGAUACCCUGGUAGUCCACGCCCUAAAACGAUGUCAACUAGUUGUUGGGGAUUCAUUUCCUUAGUAACGUAGCUAACGCGUGAAGUUGACCGCCUGGGGAGUACGGUCGCAAGAUUAAAACUCAAAGGAAUUGACGGGGUCAUA